GUGGGGGAUAUUGCACAAUGGAGGAAACUCUGAUGCAGCGACGCCGCGUGAGUGAAGAAGUAUUUCGGUAUGUAAAGCUCUAUCAGCAGGGAAGAUAAUGACAGUACCUGACUAAGAAGCCCCGGCUAACUACGUGCCAGCAGCCGCGGUAAUACGUAGGGGGCAAGCGUUAUCCGGAUUUACUGGGUGUAAAGGGAGCGUAGACGGAAUGGCAAGUCUAAAGUGAAAUCCUGCGGCUUAACUGCAGAAUUGCUUUGGAAACUGUCAAUCUGGAGUGUUGGAGAGGUAAGCGGAAUUCCUGGUGUAGCGGUGAAAUGCGUAGAUAUCAGGAAGAACACCGGAGGCGAAGGCGGCUUACUGGACAAUAACUGACGUUGAGGCUCGAAAGCGUGGGAAGCAAACAGGAUUAGAUACCCCAGUAGUCC
This 425-nucleotide ribosomal RNA is filed under the name uncultured bacterium. Its description in RNAcentral is "partial 16S ribosomal RNA". It matches the Rfam family "Bacterial small subunit ribosomal RNA", at positions 354 to 796 of the family's 1533-position model. The record is from RNAcentral.